This 471-nucleotide ribosomal RNA is filed under the name Craterostigmus tasmanianus. RNAcentral's name for it is "SSU rRNA". It matches the Rfam family "Eukaryotic small subunit ribosomal RNA", at positions 644 to 1113 of the family's 1831-position model. The record is from RNAcentral. Lineage: Eukaryota; Metazoa; Arthropoda; Chilopoda; Craterostigmomorpha; Craterostigmidae.
GUGCCGGUCUGGCGGUCCGCCUCGCCGUGUUCUCACUGCCAGUCCCGGAGCCAUCCCGCCGGCCUUCCCUCGGUGCUCUUUACCGAGUGUCUUGGGUGACCGGAACGUUUACUUUGAACAAAUUAGAGUGCUCCAAGCAGGCGCGUCCCGCCCGCAUAGCCCAGCAUGGAAUAAUGGAAUAGGACCUCGGUUCUAUUUUGUUGGUUUUCGGAACCCGAGGUAAUGAUUAAUAGGGACAGACGGGGGCAUUCGUAUUGCGACGCUAGAGGUGAAAUUCUUGGACCGUCGCAAGACGAACUACUGCGAAAGCAUUUGCCAUGAAUGUUUUCAUUAAUCAAGAACGAAAGUUAUAGGUUCGAAGGCGAUCAAAUACCGCCCUAGUUCUAACCAUAAACGAUGCCGACCAGCGAUCCGCCGGAGUUCCUCCGAUGACUCGCCGGGGAGCUUCCGGGAAACCAAAGUGUUUGGGUU